UUGGCGUCCUUUUUAACGCCGCUCCGAUCUAUUUCACUUGUUUCCCGUAAAGGAUGCCUUCAACAUCACAUGUUCCCCAAAAUUCUUGUGUGCCCAUUCCAGUUUGAAGAUGGUAACGAAGGUGACGCAGUGUAACCACAAUCAGUGAUCAAUAAAUAAAAAGAAUUUGGCCAAGUUGUCCCACCAUCAACCAGCAUAUUCCUCCUCUUGCGAGCGGCGUUCUUGCAAGGUAAACAGGAAUCCUAUGGCAAUAAGCGGUGCUUGAAGACAAUACCACAGGUUCAUCCACAAAACCAGAACGCCUGAGGUGAUGCACAACUCUCCAGUGGAAUGUGACUGACACUGACACAUCUUGCUCACGCCGGAAGCAACGUCCGCAUGGUUUCAAGUACAGAAGAAGGCGAAGAGGAAGAAGAAGCUGGCGCAGCGAACUUUUUGUGGAUGGACUGACGCGGGUAACGGAGGAGGAAAAAUUUAUUUAUCCAAAACGGUACUCAAACACAAAUGGGUUGUAAAUUAUCCUUCACUGUGAUUCGCUCACGUGUGUCUGUUUACACAGGGCCGAGGUUUCGUUCGUGUAGGCUACAGGAAAAGCUCGGGAAUUCUGCACUUUGGGGAACUUGGAGGUGGACAAUUGCAGUUGGGGGUGGAUUGAUUAUGUACCAAAAGGUGAUGUACAUGUGAUGGAGUUUUGAGAGGGGUUUGAUAUCGCUCGGCCACCUUUCCAACUUCUUCCACCAAUGUUAAUCCACAACGAGGUCACGAUGGCAACAUCCUCCAUGUGAGCACGUGGGGAGGCUCCUCUUUCAUCCCUUCUUCUACGCUGUGCCGUGUUGUGUACAUUCCUCGUCCUGCCAUCUUCUUCGGACGCUCUCACUCUCACAUCCACACUACCAGCAGAAAUUCGCUAGGAUUAUAGCACAUUCCAAACUCAGAUAGUGGAGACAAAGUGAGAUGCUUGUUACAAAAGUCUUCCUGGUCGUGCAUUGACCGAAGAUCAAUGAUUGGAACAGCCAUUCCCCGAGGCUUCUGUAACUUC
Molecule: non-coding RNA, 1039 nt
Organism: Physcomitrium patens
Lineage: Eukaryota; Viridiplantae; Streptophyta; Bryopsida; Funariales; Funariaceae
Source: RefSeq, a predicted model, not a curated record